AACGCGAAGAACCUUACCUACUCUUGACAUCCAGAGAAUUUAGCAGAGAUGCUUUAGUGCCUUCGGGAACUCUGAGACAGGUGCUGCAUGGCUGUCGUCAGCUCGUGUUGUGAAAUGUUGGGUUAAGUCCCGCAACGAGCGCAACCCUUAUCCUUUGUCGCCAGCGAUUCGGUCGGGAACUCAAAGGAGACUGCCGGUGAUAAACCGGAGGAAGGUGGGGAUGACGUCAAGUCAUCAUGGCCCUUACGAGUAGGGCUACACACGUGCUACAAUGGCGUAUACAAAGAGAAGCGACCUCGCGAGAGCAAGCGGAACUCAUAAAGUACGUCGUAGUCCGGAUUGGAGUCUGCAACUCGACUCCAUGAAGUCGGAAUCGCUAGUAAUCGUAGAUCAGAAUGCUACGGUGAAUACGUUCCCGGGUCUUGUACACACCG
RNAcentral lists this ribosomal RNA (434 nucleotides) under uncultured Providencia sp. RNAcentral describes it as "bacterial SSU rRNA". It matches the Rfam family "Bacterial small subunit ribosomal RNA", at positions 958 to 1392 of the family's 1533-position model. The record is from RNAcentral. Lineage: Bacteria; Pseudomonadati; Pseudomonadota; Gammaproteobacteria; Enterobacterales; Morganellaceae.